This 1885-nucleotide unclassified non-coding RNA is filed under the name Rhipicephalus microplus (southern cattle tick). RNAcentral describes it as "gastrula zinc finger protein XlCGF49.1-like, transcript variant X1". The record is from RNAcentral. Lineage: Eukaryota; Metazoa; Arthropoda; Arachnida; Ixodida; Ixodidae.
UACAGGAGGCGUUGAGGUAGCGUUGCGUUUAGCGCAUCGGCCGCCGCCGACGAAGAAACUGCAGAUACGUGAUUCCGCUGCCUCCACUGCUCAUGAUCUUGGUUUGAGCUGUAGUGAGGACUCUGUUGAAGUUGGAUCAUCAGAUUUAGACUCAGACAGCGAUGGUUCAUCUCCACAGCCCGGACCUUCAACCCCUGUGUCAAAGCUCCUCGUCCUUAGAGUCCCUUGAGGAAUGCAAGUCGCCAAUGCCUGUACAAGACGGACUGCAUUCCUGCUGGCAGUGCACGCUCUUUGUCUUUCGAGUGUCUUAAGGAAGAGUCACUCACGGCUGUACAAGACGGACUGCAUUCGUGCCGGCUGUGCACUUAUGUGACCAAGGACAGGGCAAACAUGGAGACACACCUUCGCAUACACACGGGCGAGUUCCUCUUUGAGUGCCACCUUUGUCCAGCCACAUUCAGUGACAGCUUCUAUUUGAGAAAGCAUGUUGGCGCAACACAUGAUUAUGUGUUGCUAUAUUUUCUCCAGCCAGUAAAAAAUUGCAUGAUUUUGACUUGGAUAAAUUUUGGUUGUCCAACUUCUCGCAAUGUGCUAUGUUAGAGGCCAUGCUUGUUGGGGUAAAUUGUCUGCGCAAGCCUGUUGAGAAGGGUAGCUAACUGCAAUCAUGUUAGUUAAGUGAAGCUGUGGUGCGUUCCGUGCCCUAGCUAUCAAGGUGAACACUCGUGUAAUGGAAGCUAGAAUAGUUUGCCAUAGAGAAGGGGUCUCAAACACGUGGAAUAAAGAACUUGCGCAGCCCACAGACUUACACAAGAAGUUCUGUAGCCUGCAUGUUUGUUUCACUUUCUCAAUAAGUACGUCCAUGAGCUACACAAAGAUGAGAGGUCUCGGGCAUUUUUUUGAGUGUCGGUCUAUUAAAUCGCCAUGUGCCAACUACCAAAACUGAGAAAUUCAACAUUUCAGAAUCCGCGUCGAUAUCCGUCACCCUGAAAAUCGGUAUCAGUGUUUUUCAAAUGAUCUCUCUCCAAAAACCCUUGAAAUACACUCAAACCUCAUUAUAACAAUGUUGCAUUUUACACGAAAAUAAGCUCGUUAUAUCCGAAAAUAUUUUAUAAAGGUUCAUUUGUGACACUAUACCCAUUGCUGUACUAUUUUUCAUUUAUUUUUUAUCAUUACUAUUUUGUUAUAUCUUGGUUCGUUAUAUCGAGGUGAAGUGUAUCAGCCAGAUAUGACAUCUUUCCUGCCUCAGCUCAUGCUUUACUUUAUGAAGUGUGGCCCGUUCGCUCUAGUGAGUCUAAGACACAUGCGAUAGGGCAUUGUAUAUAUAGAUUGCUUUUUUUUAUGCAUCAAAAUUAUUUGUUCGUUUUGCUGUUUUAGCACACUUGUUAAAAAUAUGGAGACAAACAUGGCAAGAAACAUUCUUUUUUUCUGCCUUGUUUGACAAGCGUGCUAAACUAAUUAAAUGCUAACCAACAUGGCCAUACCCACACCCUGUGAAUUCUUCAUGUGCCUAGGUAAAUAGCGAACUUUUGUACUUUAGUGCCCUACGAGGUGAUGCAGAUAAAUAAUAAAUAAAUGCAGUAUAACCUGGAGCAAUAAAAUGGAGAGUGUUUUCUCAAAUCAGGCAAAAUUGUGACAAAGACCUAUUGAAUGCUAGUGGACACAUGUAUACUUUUCAUAGAAGUGCGGCAACCAUUCUUGCUUGCGUGGUGCUGCAAUCUACUUUUAUGUGGUGAGAGACUUGUAGUUUGCAUUGCCUUCCUGUUCACCAUGUUGUUUUGCAGGCUCUUUGUCUUUCGAGUGUCUUAAGGAAGAGUCACUCACGGCUGUACAAGACGGACUGCAUUCGUGCCGGCAGUGCACUUAUGUGACCAAGGACAGGGCAAAC